This 94-nucleotide ribosomal RNA is filed under the name Pseudomonas sp. The record is from RNAcentral. Lineage: Bacteria; Pseudomonadati; Pseudomonadota; Gammaproteobacteria; Pseudomonadales; Pseudomonadaceae. RNAcentral also lists the same sequence under 1 other name.
AACCACCUGAUCCCAUCCCGAACUCAGUAGUGAAACGAUGCAUCGCCGAUGGUAGUGUGGGGUUUCCCCAUGUGAGAGUAGGUCAUCGUCAAGA